CUACCUAUAAGACUGGGAUAACUUCGGGAAACCGGAGCUAAUACCGGAUAAUAUUUUGAACCGCAUGGUUCAAAAGUGAAAGACGGUCUUGCUGUCACUUAUAGAUGGAUCCGCGCUGCAUUAGCUAGUUGGUAAGGUAACGGCUUACCAAGGCAACGAUGCAUAGCCGACCUGAGAGGGUGAUCGGCCACACUGGAACUGAGACACGGUCCAGACUCCUACGGGAGGCAGCAGUAGGGAAUCUUCCGCAAUGGGCGAAAGCCUGACGGAGCAACGCCGCGU
This 282-nucleotide ribosomal RNA is filed under the name Staphylococcus aureus. RNAcentral's name for it is "partial 16S ribosomal RNA". It matches the Rfam family "Bacterial small subunit ribosomal RNA", at positions 126 to 402 of the family's 1533-position model. Lineage: Bacteria; Bacillati; Bacillota; Bacilli; Caryophanales; Staphylococcaceae. The record is from RNAcentral.